Long non-coding RNA from Cheilinus undulatus (humphead wrasse), 670 nucleotides. RefSeq lists it as uncharacterized. The transcript is spliced from 3 exons. The record is from RefSeq and is a predicted model, not a curated record. NCBI's taxonomy places the organism in Eukaryota, Metazoa, Chordata, Actinopteri, Labriformes, Labridae.
AACACAGAAAACUACACGGUGCAAGAUGCCUCAUCUGCCUGCAUUGAUCUCGAUAGCAUGCUGAGAGAGCUGGGCUCCCUGUCAAGCUGCAUGGAUCAACUUUUACUGCAAACCCAGAUGAAGCUCUGUGAUCUGAUUGUUAAUGUUGGACACCCUGAUAAGCUGGCGAUUUUGAAGGUCCAAGAGGAGGAACUGAAGCAGCAGCCGCCUCCAGCUUGGGCUGAAAGUGAAGCACAAAGAACAAAGGUUCAGGAGGAUAAGAUGGUGAAACUGUGAGAGUCAGCGCCUGACCUUGUUCACCUCUCUGAGAGCAUCUUCAGCUUGAUGUCUGGUCAUCUGUCCUCCAUACCAGCUGGAUUCCAAAUCCUGGAUGCACUAGAUAAACAAGUACAGUAAGGACUAAAGCCCUCUUCACACAGGAGUAGUAUUACCUGUGAACCUCUGAUCAUCUGCAAGAACUGAUGAGGAAGUCUGUUUAAAUUUACCUCCUUUCAGUUUUAUCCACAGACAUGCACAAACACCUCUCCUCUCUCAACAUGCACAGUGCUUAUCCAGCUGCUCCUCUUUACUUGUGGCCUGUGUGUCUGAGCUUUAUUCAAUACUUACUGGUCUGGGUUUUACUAGUUUUCCCAAGUAACAAUACCAUUGUUUCGAAAUGUGACCCUGAAUA